This 285-nucleotide long non-coding RNA is filed under the name Lathyrus oleraceus (garden pea). Its description in RNAcentral is "Pisum sativum (pea) long non-coding RNA (PSAT_LNC012627)". Lineage: Eukaryota; Viridiplantae; Streptophyta; Magnoliopsida; Fabales; Fabaceae. The record is from RNAcentral.
UUGUCUCUUAUUAUUAUUUGUUUAUAAGAAUGGAAAGAAUAAUUUUUUCUAAAAUGUUUGAAAUUUGUGAAAAGUGAAGGAGAGGGAUAUUGUUCGUUCUUAUGCAGAAAGGGGAGAUACUGUAUUUUUUUAUUAUUACUUUCAUUUUGUUUUAAUGAUAUUAAACAGCAUUUAAUUUGUUUUUUAAUAAAAAAAAAGGUCCAUUUAGUGACUCACUAGCAGUCAAAUAUGUUUCUAAAUAAUUUGAAAAAAACAAAUCAACCCAAGUUGAUGAAAGAGGCCGAC